Molecule: ribosomal RNA, 553 nt
Filed under: uncultured archaeon
Lineage: Archaea
Description: bacterial SSU rRNA
Rfam family: Archaeal small subunit ribosomal RNA
Source: RNAcentral
CGGGGUGCACCAGGCGCGAAAACUUUACAAUGCCGGCAACGGCGAUAAGGGAACCUCGAGUGCCAGGUUACAAAUCUGGCUGUCGUGAUGCCUAAAAAGCAUUGCAUAGCAAGGGCCGGGCAAGACCGGUGCCAGCCGCCGCGGUAACACCGGCGGCUCGAGUGGUAACCGUUAUUAUUGGGUCUAAAGGGUCUGUAGCCGGCCGGGUAAGUCUCUUGGGAAAUCUGGCAGCUUAACUGUCAGGCUUUCAGGAGAUACUGCCUGGCUCGAGGCCGGGAGAGGUGAGAGGUACUUCAGGGGUAGGGGUGAAAUCUUGUAAUCCUUGAAGGACCACCAGUGGCGAAGGCGUCUCACCAGAACGGACCUGACGGCAAGGGACGAAAGCUAGGGGCACGAACCGGAUUAGAUACCCGGGUAGUCCUAGCCGUAAACGAUACUCGCUAGGUGUCGGCCACGGUGCGACCGUGGUCGGUGCCGUAGGGAAGCCGUGAAGCGAGCCACCUGGGAAGUACGGCCGCAAGGCUGAAACUUAAAGGAAUUGGCGGGGGAGCAC